GCAGGAUCAACCCGGUAGCCUUCCUCACGGACAUUGACCCGCACGGCGCGAGGCCGGGACGGGACCGAAAUCGUUCGAAAUAGGCCUUCAGGCCUUUUUGCGGACAGAUAGGAGCCCUUCGACUCCGUGCCCUCAUUGUUUUCUGCAUCCCAGCGCCCGAGCGAGAACUCGUGGACCACGAUACCGACACGGAACGUGGAAGUACGGGGGACACAAAUCCCGUUUCGAGUUUCACCCGUGACCGCACCGAGAACGGGCAGCCUAAGGCGAACAGCUAGAGAUUGACGACCGAAUUCCAUCAAGUAGGUACGAAACACAGGAAACCGAAAGACGGCCAAGGUAAAUUGUGCCAACAAUGAAGAGGAUAGCAAGGUCGGACGUCCCUGCCCGAGGCAGGGAUCCAACCAAACCGGGCUAAC
RNAcentral lists this unclassified non-coding RNA (419 nucleotides) under Staelia galioides. RNAcentral describes it as "partial external transcribed spacer". Lineage: Eukaryota; Viridiplantae; Streptophyta; Magnoliopsida; Gentianales; Rubiaceae. The record is from RNAcentral.